AGCAGGCUAGGUCUGGUGACCUGCCGGGGCUCAUAUCCCGAGAGCCCGGUUCGAUUCCGGGGCCAGCUACCA
Molecule: transfer RNA, 72 nt
Filed under: Aeromonas phage vB_AsaP_MQM1
Lineage: Duplodnaviria; Heunggongvirae; Uroviricota; Caudoviricetes
Description: tRNA-Met
Source: RNAcentral